Megalobrama amblycephala (Wuchang bream) is the source of this 1961-nucleotide long non-coding RNA. RefSeq lists it as uncharacterized. NCBI's taxonomy places the organism in Eukaryota, Metazoa, Chordata, Actinopteri, Cypriniformes, Xenocyprididae. The record is from RefSeq and is a predicted model, not a curated record. The transcript is spliced from 2 exons.
GUGACACUAAACACAACAGCAUAUAUUUUAGUAUAGUAUGCAUUAGACAGUUCAUAUAUACAUACAUACAUACAUACAUACAUACAUAUAUAAAAGAAAAACAGAAAAUAUUUUUAAAAAAAAAUAUUUAAAAAGGUUUUUUGUAACCAUUUAAUAUUCUUUUGUACAGUCACACUAAACUUAAUAUGUAUUAUAGUACACAUUGAACAGUUCAUGAAUAGAUGGUAGAUCAUUCGGCCAAAGUAUCAUUUCUACAAUUCAAUUUACAAGCUACUGACCAACUGAUAAAUAAGUUAUUUAUCAAAUUCAUGUAUUAUUUUUUACUCAAAUUUGGUUCUUGUGAGUGACUUAGAGGAAGGCAUUCCACCUACUUUAUAUCAUUAUUGGCAUUAUGGUAACACUUUAACAAAAGGUAAAUUAACUACAUUAAUUAGUAUGAACUAACAAUGAACAAUACUUUUAUAAAUUCUGUAAAAAUAUAUUUCUCAUUGUUAUGUUAGUUAAUGCAUUAACUAAUGUUAACAAAUAGAGUGCAACAGUCAGGUUCUGGAAGUAAAAACUCUCAUUUUCUCUAUAGGGAAUUUGAUUUUGAACGAUAACUUAAACCUUUAAAGACAACCCUACUGUGAGUUAUGAGAUUAUUAAUCCAUGGUAUUAUGUUGAAGCCGUCACAUUAUUUCAGUUUAUCUUUAAUAUAAUCAUAUUUAACAGCAGAAUUCCUAGUGAAAAACUACAUUACCCAUGAUGCUGUACAGAAAAUGACACCAAUCAGUGAGUCGAAAAAAGCAACACAUACUAAAAUAAAAUAGCUCUUUAGCCCCGCCUACUCCCAUGAAGCAUCGCGAAUGAUGUAAUGAGUGGAUCUCUCUAAGCUCUCAAAAUACUUAAAUAUUUGUGAAUAUAUGCAAAUUUUGCAAUAAACUUAAAAUAUAUUGUUUCUAUAUAUAUAUAUAAUCAACAUUUGUACAAAAGAAGUUUUAUAUGUGUCCAUCAUUUUUAAUUUGAUAAUGCUGUUCGCAGUGCUUCAUGGGAGGAACUCUAUAAGACCGUACUGCAAAGUGUUCCCGAUAUGAUUACGCAAAAGGAUAUGUGGACAAAUAUCCUCCUACGCUGAAAAUUGCUUACAGGGAUAGUAUCCUGGUAACUCUUUCUGAGAAAAUAACUGUAUAUAGAUUUCAUAGGGUGUGUGUUGUUAUUCAUUACUCUUCCCUUCAGUUUCAGUCCCACACAUCAGGUCUGCACCUUAUCUUUUAAAACAGCCAUAUUCUUCCUGUUCUCCAGAGAGGUGGGACACAGCGUGCCUGUGCAUGGCGGUGUUCUUGCACAGUGUGGAGGAGGACAGACGAACUCUACACAUGCAUUGUAGCACCGUCGCUCUGAGCCUCAGGGCUUUUCCUGAAGUUACCAUGGAAACGCAGCCCUCUGAGGGUAAACCACCCGUGAAUGGACUUGUGAGGAGGGACAGUGUAUACUGCUUAUGUCAAAACUCAGACGCAGAUUUACCAACAGACGCAGCUGUACAAACAGCACUCUACAAGUCUGUAAAUAUCAGUUGCUAUGGGACUCACCAGAUGAAGUCGCGGCAGUGCGAGCAGUAGGUGGGCUGUCUCAGAAGAGCCAUGCAGAGGCAGCGAUCAUUAAACCAAGGGGCAUGACUGUGACAAAGGCACCAUAUUGGAAAGCUGUCAGACGCUCUCACUAGAAAGGAAACAAGGCCACAGGGGUGGAGCUCCACUCUUUCUCUCUUUUCUUCUCAUUCUCUCUGUGGAGCAUGAGAACUGUGAUCACUCCUGAGUAUUCCCUUAUGUCAAUGUAUCUGUCUGCUGCAGUCACACUUCUCAGCCCUGAGAGAAAGAGAAGGAGAGAGACUGGACUUGGAGUCACAAAAUGACAAAGCAAGUUGUGCCAAACUGGCAGGCCGACGGUCAUCUCCUGUUAUUAAUAAAGCCAUUGUAUAUGUG